GAUGAACGCUGGCGGCGUGCCUAAUACAUGCAAGUCGAGCGAACAGACGAGGAGCUUGCUCCUCUGACGUUAGCGGCGGACGGGUGAGUAACACGUGGAUAACCUACCUAUAAGACUGGGAUAACUUCGGGAAACCGGAGCUAAUACCGGAUAAUAUAUUGAACCGCAUGGUUCAAUAGUGAAAGACGGUUUUGCUGUCACUUAUAGAUGGAUCCGCGCCGCAUUAGCUAGUUGGUACGGUAACGGCUUACCAAGGCGACGAUGCGUAGCCGACCUGAGAGGGUGAUCAGCCACACUGGAACUGAGACACGGUCCAGACUCCUACGGGAGGCAGCAGUAGGGAAUCUUCCGCAAUGGGCGAAAGCCUGACGGAGCAACGCCGCGUGAGUGAUGAAGGUCUUCGGAUCGUAAAACUCUGUUAUUAGGGAAGAACAAAUGUGUAAGUAACUAUGCACGUCUUGACGGUACCUAAUCAGAAAGCCACGGCUAACUACGUG
This 497-nucleotide ribosomal RNA is filed under the name uncultured bacterium. RNAcentral's name for it is "partial 16S ribosomal RNA". It matches the Rfam family "Bacterial small subunit ribosomal RNA", at positions 28 to 507 of the family's 1533-position model. The record is from RNAcentral.